This 253-nucleotide ribosomal RNA is filed under the name uncultured bacterium. RNAcentral describes it as "partial 16S ribosomal RNA". It matches the Rfam family "Bacterial small subunit ribosomal RNA", at positions 524 to 776 of the family's 1533-position model. The record is from RNAcentral.
UACGGGGGGGGCAAGCGUUGUUCGGAAUUACUGGGCGUAAAGGGCUCGUAGGCGGCCAACUAAGUCGGACGUGAAAUCCCUCGGCUCAACCGGGGAACUGCGUCUGAUACUGGCGGGCUUGAGUCCGGGAGAGGGAUGUGGAAUUCCAGGUGUAGCGGUGAAAUGUGUAGAGAUCGGGAGGAACACCGGUGGCGAAGGCGGGUCUCUGGGCAUCUCCUGACGCUGAGGCGCGAAAGCGUGGGGAGCAAACGGG